This is a non-coding RNA of Pantherophis guttatus, 422 nucleotides long. NCBI's taxonomy places the organism in Eukaryota, Metazoa, Chordata, Lepidosauria, Squamata, Colubridae. The record is from RefSeq and is a predicted model, not a curated record.
UGUAGAAGUCUCCUUCAGAAGAAUAUGGCAAAGAAAAGGAAGUGAGGAAGAACUGUUAAGUUCCUAAAAAUUGAACAUGUUACUUCAGGAAGAGCAGCUGGAACAAUGUGGGAUGUCCUUUUUAUACUGAAGGGGCGGAACCAAAUGUAAGAUUGCCCGUGCGCAAUGCUCAUUUCUGUUUUGAAGUUGCCGGAGAAGGAUCCUGUAGCCGCAGCUUCCUCAUAGUGGUCUCUCUCAGGCAUGCAGGCCUCUGGCUCAAUCCUGGGGGUCCAGCGGUGAGUCGAAGGCUGUCCUCUCACCACGCUGCUAUCCGGAUGAAGAUCCCGGGCCCUUGGAUACGUCUGUGGUGUUGGUUACUUCAGGAAGAGCAGCUGGAACAAUGUGGGAUGUUCUUUUUAUACUGAAGGGGCGGAACUAAAGGU